UACGUAGGGUGCGAGCGUUGUCCGGAAUUAUUGGGCGUAAAGGGCUCGUAGGCGGUUUGUCGCGUCGGGAGUGAAAACCCAGGGCUUAACUCUGGGCUUGCUUUCGAUACGGGCAGACUAGAGGUAUGCAGGGGAGAACGGAAUUCCUGGUGUAGCGGUGAAAUGCGCAGAUAUCAGGAGGAACACCGGUGGCGAAGGCGGUUCUCGUGG
This 210-nucleotide ribosomal RNA is filed under the name uncultured bacterium. RNAcentral describes it as "partial 16S ribosomal RNA". It matches the Rfam family "Bacterial small subunit ribosomal RNA", at positions 524 to 733 of the family's 1533-position model. The record is from RNAcentral.